Molecule: ribosomal RNA, 300 nt
Filed under: uncultured Streptacidiphilus sp.
Lineage: Bacteria; Bacillati; Actinomycetota; Actinomycetes; Kitasatosporales; Streptomycetaceae
Description: bacterial SSU rRNA
Rfam family: Bacterial small subunit ribosomal RNA (bases 54-300)
Source: RNAcentral
GUGGUAACCGGUGCCAGCGGCGCGGGAUAUACGGAGGGGGGGGGCGUGAGUGUGAAUUACGCGGCGUAAGGCGUGCGUAGGCGGAUGGUUAAGGAUGCCGUGAAAGCCCCGGGAUCAACCGGGGAACGGCGGUUGAGACGGCCCGGCUCGAGUGGGCUAGAGGAUCGUGGAAUUCCGGGUGUAGCGGUGAAAUGCGGAGAGAUCCGGAGGAACACCGAUGGCGAAGGCAGCGAUCUGGGGCCACACUGACGCUGAGGCACGAAAGCGUGGGGAGCAAACAGGAUUAGAUACCCUGGUAUC